This 305-nucleotide ribosomal RNA is filed under the name uncultured bacterium. Its description in RNAcentral is "bacterial SSU rRNA". It matches the Rfam family "Bacterial small subunit ribosomal RNA", at positions 337 to 657 of the family's 1533-position model. The record is from RNAcentral.
UCCUACGGGGGGCAGCAGUGGGGAAUAUUGCACAAUGGGCGAAAGCCUGAUGCAGCAACGCCGCGUGAGCGAAGAAGGUCUUCGGAUUGUAAAGCUCUGUCCUAGGGGAAGAAGAAAAUGACGGUACCCUUGGAGGAAGCCCCGGCUAACUACGUGCCAGCAGCCGCGGUAAUACGUAGGGGGCAAGCGUUAUCCGGAAUUAUUGGGCGUAAAGAGUGCGUAGGUGGUUACCUAAGCAGGGGGUGAAAGGCAAUGGCUCAACCAUUGUUAGCCCUCUGAACUGGGUUACUUGAGUGCAGGAGAGG